RNAcentral lists this long non-coding RNA (3781 nucleotides) under Salmo salar (Atlantic salmon). RNAcentral describes it as "lncRNA (ENSSSAG00000116772.1)". The stretch from base 957 to 1038 matches the Rfam family "mir-132 microRNA precursor family". Lineage: Eukaryota; Metazoa; Chordata; Actinopteri; Salmoniformes; Salmonidae. The record is from RNAcentral.
GUAGAUGUGUAGGUGUUGGUUUUUAGUGAAUGGGUUGUCCCCUCCCCUCGGUGUCCCGGCUCCGGUUCUAUUAGCCUACUACUGCCUCUCUAUAAAAACCCUAUCAUAGAUCCGGCUCAGACGAACAACUUUUACAGAAGAAAGAGAAUAAGAAGAGGAGAAGAGAUGUUCUUGGAAAGAGAGAGUGUGACAUAUAUAUAUACACACUGUCCUGCAACAGGAGAAAAAGAAUACGAAAAAGAAGUCCGUACUGACAUCUGUUGAAGUUCCUAUUUCAGCAUCUUUCCUGUAACUAAGCUGUGGUUGUGUUGCGGACACUUUAAGAUGGGAGGUUGUGUGAGGUGCAGUGUUAUAUUUCCAGUCUGUUCUCUUCCUCGUCCUCUUUCUGGCUACCAUGGUUACGACCACUGACCCAUGACAGCCAGAGCAUCAGCACCUUGGCUUUAGACUGCUUACUGCUUGAAACAGUCUCACAGUUACAGUAACAGUCUACAGUCAUGGCUACUGACGCCUGGCAACUCACCGUGGUAACACACUACCUGUCCCGGAGACACCACCCUGGAAGUGCUGCCAUGGAAACUGUAGUCUGGGGUAUAGGGUAACUAACACCAUGACAAUGGUAUGGCAUUGGCAACUAAGACUAUGGGAAGACCCUAACGAUGUCUGUGCCGGUAAUGUCUCAGUAAUGUCCGAGUAUGGUAUGCUACGAUAGCAACUUUCCAGAGGACAUGGAAACUCCACAAUAAUCUCUCCUUCUCUCUCUUUGUCUUUCUCCCGCACCACCUCACUAUCUCUCAGUCUUGUGUGUGUGCCUGUGUGUGAGUGAGCCUGCCUGCGUGGGCCUGCAUUGGGGGAGCCCUAUGCUGAUGUGCGCACAUCAUUUCCACCCACCAGCCAAUCGGACUUCACCAUCUCCAGUUACCAUGCCAACUCCCGCUCCUCCAUCUCCCUGCUGUCUCCAUGGCGACCGUGGCUUUAGAUUGUUACUCUAGAGACAGCACCAUGGUAACAGUCUACAGCCAUGGUCGUUAGGGGGCAUGCGUCACGGCGACAGUGGAAGGCAACGGAAAGAGAUGAAAAAGAAUAAGAAGAGAUCAGAGCAUGUGUGUGUGUGUGUGUGUGUGUGUGUGUGUGUGUGUGUGUGUGUGUGUGUGUGUGUGUGUGUGUGUGUGUGUGUGUGUGACGACAGCAGAGCGGGCAUGUGAGAGAUGGUUUUCCCAACAGGCAGGCAACCCAGAGCUCAGGCCAGCUAUCUGACACACACAGCUUUCUGAGCCAGACGCUGCCUGCUGCAGUCUCCUACUAUCUCUUAGUAGGUCAAAGGGACACAGAUGCCGUUCACUGCUGGAAGUUCUUAUAUACACUUCUUUACAGAGUUGUCUAUAUAUGUCAUUGGCAAAAAUGAUACAUACACAACACUUUAAAACAAAAAAGGAUUAACUUUCAUUUUAGACAUAGCUCUCUUUCUCUUUCUGUAAAGAUCUCAAUUGCGUACUCCUUCGCGUCCUCUCUGCUCGUUUACUUCUCAAAACCCAUUGGAUGAGAGAGCCUGAGAUCCCUGACCUCUGACCUUUUCCUCCAAUGAGUAGAGAGGAAGACGAGAAGAGUAUGCAAUUUAGAUCUUUCCUCUCUCUCUCAAUGCAACACGAUGGCUAUAUUUCUGCAUAAAGGCAUAUUUUACAUAGUUUGAUAUUUGUAAAACAAGUAUAUGUGAAAACAGUCUGAUUUUGAUAAACUAGCCAAUUAAUAUUAGCAUUUUUUUAGGAUCAAUUUCCAUUUCAGUCAAAUUUUCCCAUUUAGCAUCUUUUAAAUAUUAUUCCAAAAUCAUCUAAAAUUGUCUUUCAACCAAGUCAGUGAGCAACACAAUCCAUUUAGGCAAUGAUUUGGCCAUGAAAUGUCUUGCUGUUUGCUUAGCUCAACAGGUCAGUGCGUGUCAUUGAUGCCACAUCUGGAUAGAGUAAGUUAUGUCUUAGGUAGAAAGGAUCUCAUGUGAUAUAGAGACAGAACCUCAACACACACUUUAAUCUGUAAACAUUUAAAGCACUGUAAACAAUGUGAUUGAUAAAAAAAAACAAUAAAGUGAUAUUUGGAUAAAUGUAAUUUGUCUGUUGGUUUUUGGGGGUGGCAUGUGUUGCAAAUAUUUGGGUCACAUUUUUUUAUUUUUUAUUUCACCUUUAUUUGAACAGGGACAACUUUGAGACCAAGGUCUCUUUUACAAAUAUGACCUGUAUAAUACAACAUAAAUAUAUACAUUAUACCCAAACAUAUACACAAUAAAAUACAUAAACACAGUCAUGGGAAGCACAAAUAAAACACUACAAAUUAUCCAGAAAAACAGUUACAUUCCUCUACAAAUAAGUCUCCAAUCCAUACUUUAAAUUGCCGAACGGCACCAGAACAGAGAUGAAAUGUAUUUAAAAUUUUGUUCCAGCAAUACAGUACAUUAAAACUAAAAGCGAAUUUACCUAGCUCGGUGGAGACCCUAGGAACCUCAAGUGUUAACCAAUCCUGUGAACGGGUUAGGCAACUCAGGUGUCUAUACAAAAAGGGAGUAAUGUAGAGAUCUACGGGUCUUCAGCGAAGUCCAGACAACUUUUUACGCCUUUUUCUCCCCAAUUUCGUGAUAUCCAAUUGGUAGUUACAGUCUUGUCCCACCGCUGCAACUCCCGUACGGACUCGGGAGAGGCGAAGGUCAAGAGCCAUGCGUCCUCCGAAACAUGACUCUGCCAAGCCGCACUGCUUCUUGACACAAUGCCCGCUUAACCUGGAAGCCAGCCACACCAAUGUGUCGGAGAAAACACCGUACAACUGCGACCGUGUCAGAGUGCAUUUGGCCGGCACUCACAGGAGUCGCUAGAGAGCGAUGGGACAAGGACAUCCCAGCCGGCCAAUCCCUCCCCUAACCCGGACGAUGCUGGCCCAAUUGUGCGUUGCCUCAUGGGUCUCCCGGUCGUGGCCAGCUGCGACACAGCCUGGGAUUGAACCCAGAUCUGUAGUGACGCCUCAAGCACUGCAGUGCCUUAGACCGCUGCGCCAUUCGGGAGGCGAUCCAGCCAACCUUUUGAUACAGGAUGCAGUGAUGAGUAUCAAAACUGUCACCUUUAACAAAACAAAGAGCACUAUGGUAGAUGGCAUCCAAAGGAUCAAGAGUAGUAGCAGCUGCACUUUGAUAAUAUCACCAUAACCAAGAACAGAUAAAAAGGUUGAUUGAAUAAUCUGCUUCCUACUGCUAAGAGAAAGGCACGAUCUGUUUCUGUAGAAAGAGACAACUUUAAACCUUAGCUUCUUAACCAGCUCAUCAAUAUGUUUUUUUAAACAUCAAAUCCAUAUAAAUCCAAAUGCCUAAGUAUUUAUAUCCGGGAACACGUUCGAUUGGAGAACCAUCUAAUGAGUGAAUAUGUAGUUCAUCUGAAACAUUCUUACGAGAGUUUGAAAACAACAUGUACUUCGUUUUGCACGCAUUAAGCACACGUUUUGAAUCAACAAGUGAUUCCAGCGUAGGUAUAAAGUCUGACUUUAGUCUUGACACAACCAGAUCAACAGACAGGGCAAUAACAUACAUAAUACUAUCAUCCACAUAUAGAUGAAGUUUACCAUUUUUAAUUAACAGAUUGACCAAUGGUGUUUAUAUAAAUAGUGAAGAGAAUAGGUCCCAAAGUCGACCCCUGUGGUACACCUUUAUGUACAUUAAGGGUCAGAGAUACCAUAUAGUUACAUAGAUGGAGAAAUUGAUGGAUAGAUAGAGAAAUGGAGAGAGGAAAAGGCGUGUGUGUCCUCUCAU